UUUUUUGCAAGUGAAUAAUGGAAAUCCUGGGCAGCUGCCCUGUAGACUGGUCUGUGCACCAACCAGCUCACUGCUCGGGAAGAGUGAGGUGAUGACUGUUCCCUUUGGAUAGGAGUCCUCGUGUCUACUAACUACGCUGAAACCCUGCCCUGUGAGAGACGCUAAUAUACUCUCUUCUCCUCCUCCUCUGCACAGCAAACGACCAAGGAUCUAGUGGCUCUGACCUAUCUGCCAAGGCUUAACAGAGCCUGGUGGAGUCUGUGCCACGGCCUGAGGGGACCCCCGAGAGGAAGACGGAUGAGCUCUGCUCUGUCUCCCUACAAGAACCAGUCAACCCCUCCCUAGCUUUUCUCUGGCACUUGGAGCGUCCCGUGUGGGAUUUCUGGCCUCGUCUCUCUGCUCACUGAACCACGUUUUGCUUUUCAGGUGUCAUAGUUUUCUGUAAUAAUGUUUUAUUUGCACAAAAUAAUUUCCAACAUUUUAAUGGAUUAAAAACUCUGUUAGUCAGA
Chelonia mydas (Green sea turtle) is the source of this 509-nucleotide long non-coding RNA. RefSeq lists it as uncharacterized. The transcript has 2 exons. Lineage: Eukaryota; Metazoa; Chordata; Testudines; Cheloniidae. The record is from RefSeq and is a predicted model, not a curated record.